This 253-nucleotide ribosomal RNA is filed under the name uncultured bacterium. Its description in RNAcentral is "partial 16S ribosomal RNA". It matches the Rfam family "Bacterial small subunit ribosomal RNA", at positions 524 to 776 of the family's 1533-position model. The record is from RNAcentral.
UACGAAGGGGGCUAGCGUUGUUCGGAAUCACUGGGCGUAAAGGGCGCGUAGGCGGCUGUUCAAGUCGGGGGUGAAAUCCCGUGGCUCAACCACGGAAUGGCCUUCGAUACUGGACGGCUCGAGACCGGAAGAGGUGAGUGGAACUGCGAGUGUAGAGGUGAAAUUCGUAGAUAUUCGCAAGAACACCAGUGGCGAAGGCGGCUCACUGGUCCGGUUCUGACGCUGAGGCGCGAAAGCGUGGGGAGCAAACGGG